Molecule: long non-coding RNA, 2365 nt
Filed under: Equus caballus (horse)
Lineage: Eukaryota; Metazoa; Chordata; Mammalia; Perissodactyla; Equidae
Description: lncRNA (ENSECAG00000028342.3)
Source: RNAcentral
UUUAAAAGGAAUUUUGGAGGGACACAAACAUUUAGUCUAUAGCACUCUACAAAUGUGAGUUGCCACAGCUGAGCCUGGCAGGUUGCAAACCCACUGGCAUCAAUGUGAAACAUUGGGAUGAGUAAAAUGUCCACACAGUGUGCAAAUUCUGCAUCUGGACACGCAUAUGGAUACAGAGAAGCCAAACCAUCACCCCUGUCGCAGACCCAGGAAGUAAAUCAAACAUUUGCAUCUGGGAUGGAAAACUCUGCUCCUUGAUUUGUUUGUGAAAACUGUCUUUCAUGAAUAAGAGAUCAAACCUGAUGCAGCCUGAGCUGAGCCAGCCAGGAAGGGAAUGUGGUGAAUUAUAAAUCCUCCAAGAGAAGAAAAAAGUCUGCACAACUCUCUCAAGCAAAACCAUGACGACGAAGGAAGAACCUUCACCACCGGGGAGCCUAAACAAUGUGCUGCCCAGAGGCUGUCCUGCCAACAGGAAUGGAUCACGCCACUAAGUUCAACAACCACCUGGAUCAAAUAGAUUUCUGAAUUGGCCAGUUAUCUGACUAAACCAGGACUGGCUCACCACCCAGCUACAUCAGGAUGAAUGGCAGCUCUUGACUGAGAACAUCUUCUGAAGUGACCCUGGUAGUAUGAAGUUAUUUUAAAUCUGUGAUAUCUCAUCUGUUUAGCAAUCAAAAAUGAGCUCGACGGCCCCUCCCAGACCGUAUAAUAGGCUGGCUGUUCAAGGAGCACUAGGUAAUGAGCUUUCUCUUUCUUCCCAAAAGGUGUGAGAUGAGAUCAGAGAGAAAAGGCAACAGUGCCCAGGUGGAAUGGGAAAGCUCAGUCCACACUUGGCAAUGGAACCCCAUGUCAGUGGACCCAAAGACUGAGGCAAAAUUAGACAGGAAACAAUUUGUCUUUACCCACUACCCACUCCACCUUGUGUUAUAGCUUCAGCCUUUAUUGAUCUCCAAAUGUGUAGGGCUCCCAAUCUUGAAAUCUCCUUUCAUUGCCCUAUAUCUCACUCCACAGUGCCCCAGCUUUCAUUUUGCUAGUCUGAUAAGAAAAAUACACAUUCACAUGUUAGUUAAUGAACUAAUGUUAGUUAAUGACCUAACUACCUUGAAUAAUAAAUUGCUCUUUCUUUGACAUUUCCCAAUGGGUGUUCCAUUGAAUUUGUGUUUAUUUUUCCUCAUCAUUCCUUCCCCAGAAACUAGCAUAGUUCCAGGCAUCUUGUAGGUUCUCAAUAAAUAUUUACAGAAAGAAUAAAAUAAUAGAACAUUAUGUGAAUUAAAGGACUUAAAUUAGGUUUGACUGUGAGUAACAGAAAUUCAAAAUAUCAGUGGUUUAAACUAACUCAAAUUUAUUUCUCUCUCAUAUAAAUGUCUAGAGGUUUGCAGUUCAAGGCUCACACAGUGGUUCUGCUUCAUAAGAAAAUAGAGCAAAUCAAGAAAGAAACUGUGGAAAAGCCACUCUUUUUAGAAGUUUUGCAGGUCCUUCUGGUUGUGCUAUAUGGGACACCACCUCAACAUGGCUUGAUGAACGGUGCCAUUUCUGCGCCCAGGAUCUCAACAGCAAAAACCCUGGGCCGCCAAAGCGGAGUGCACGGACCUAAACACUCGGCCACAGGAGGGCAGACAUAAAGGAAUGUGUUCAAUCCACCACAUUGAAUUCAAGCCUCCCGAGAUUCGUUUCAAAAUAACAGAUAUCACUAUUCUCUACUGGGGACCCAGAACCAAAGGAGGACUAAGAUCCAGUACUAGGCCCUAAUAUACCACGAAAAAACUCAUGCCAGAAAGCACACAUGUGAUAAUAAAAACAAAGAUUCUGCCUACAAAUUUACUACUUAAAAAAUAUACAUUUCAAGUAAAUUAUCUCAUUCGAUAUUUACAGAGUCUCUUAAAGAUAGAUUUUAGUUUUAUUAGCGUGUUAUGCAUGAGGAAAUUGAGGUUCAGAGAUACCAAAUGACCGCUCAGGAUAUCAUGGUCAGUAAAAGCUGGGGGUUGACUCCAGGCUUUCUAACUCCCAAUGCUGUAAAAUUUCUAAAGUAAAAAACACAAAUCCCCAGUUUGAGGAAGACAUGGUGUAACCUUUAGGGUUAAGUAUUCUUGGUUCCUUUUUUGGCAACCAAAAACUCCCCCUGAAGACUCUCAUUGGUGUUCUCUGUGGUUCUGAUCAUCAUUCUUGAUCUAGUACCCCCCUCUGUAGAAUUCAUCCCUGAACGUCUGUUCUUUUCAUCUCUAUGCUUCUUCGACUCAGAAUUUUAAAGGUCCUGAUGGCUUCCAUACUUAUUUCUCAUGCCCCCUACUUCAUACCCACUCUACUGGAGGCUAGAAGAUGUUGCAGGAAGAGCCAAGGGACCCUAAUCCCAACUCUGUCAUCAACU